AUUGAACGCUGGCGGCAGGCCUAACACAUGCAAGUCGAGCGGAUGAAGGGAGCUUGCUCCUGGAUUCAGCGGCGGACGGGUGAGUAAUGCCUAGGAAUCUGCCUGGUAGUGGGGGAUAACGUCCGGAAACGGGCGCUAAUACCGCAUACGUCCUGAGGGAGAAAGUGGGGGAUCUUCGGACCUCACGCUAUCAGAUGAGCCUAGGUCGGAUAGCUAGUUGGUGGGGUAAAGGCCUACCAAGGCGACGAUCCGUAACUGGUCUGAGAGGAUGAUCAGUCACACUGGAACUGGGACACGGUCCAGACUCCUACGGGAGGCAGCAGUGGGGAAUAUUGGACAAUGGGCGAAAGCCUGAUCCAGCCAUGCCGCGUGUGUGAAGAAGGUCUUCGGAUUGUAAAGCACUUUAAGUUGGGAGGAAGGGCAGUAAGUUAAUACCUUGCUGUUUGACGUUACCAACAGAAUAAGCACCGCUAAUU
Molecule: ribosomal RNA, 476 nt
Filed under: Pseudomonas aeruginosa
Lineage: Bacteria; Pseudomonadati; Pseudomonadota; Gammaproteobacteria; Pseudomonadales; Pseudomonadaceae
Description: bacterial SSU rRNA
Rfam family: Bacterial small subunit ribosomal RNA
Source: RNAcentral